GCAGACUCACUCUGCAUCCGACUGCGGCUCCAGUCCGGGUGCUUUUUCCGUCUGCUAGAGAACCUCCCGGCCGCCGCAAGGGCCUCGAGUGUCAGGUGCUGCAGCGGCCGGGGACACGGCG
Molecule: small nucleolar RNA, 121 nt
Organism: Choloepus didactylus (southern two-toed sloth)
Lineage: Eukaryota; Metazoa; Chordata; Mammalia; Pilosa; Megalonychidae
Product: small nucleolar RNA SNORA77
Exons: 1
Source: RefSeq, a predicted model, not a curated record